This 459-nucleotide ribosomal RNA is filed under the name uncultured bacterium. RNAcentral describes it as "partial 16S ribosomal RNA". It matches the Rfam family "Bacterial small subunit ribosomal RNA", at positions 338 to 795 of the family's 1533-position model. The record is from RNAcentral.
CCUACGGGCGGCAGCAGUGAGGAAUAUUGGUCAAUGGUCGGGAGACUGAACCAGCCAAGCCGCGUGAGGGAUGAAGGUACAGAGUAUCGUAAACCUCUUUUGUCAGGGAACAAAGGCGGGGACGCGUCCCCGGAUGAGUGUACCUGAAGAAAAAGCAUCGGCUAACUCCGUGCCCGCAGCCGCGGUAAUACGGGGGAUGCGACGGUUCUCCGGAUUUAUUGGGUUUAAGGGGUGCGCAGGCGGUCUGUUAGGUCUGCGGUAAAAGCCCGGGGCGCAACCCCGGCCCGCCGUUGAAACUGGCAGUCUCGAGUUGGAGAGAAGUAUGCGGAAUGCGCGGUGUAGCGGUGAAAUGCAUAGAUAUCGCGCAGAACUCCGAUUGCGAAGGCAGCAUGCCGGCUCCACACUGACGCUGAGGCACGAAAGCGUGGGUAUCGAACAGGAUUAGAUACCCCUGUAGUC